This 530-nucleotide long non-coding RNA is filed under the name Pan troglodytes (chimpanzee). Its description in RNAcentral is "lincRNA". Lineage: Eukaryota; Metazoa; Chordata; Mammalia; Primates; Hominidae. The record is from RNAcentral.
AGCAGGAACCCUAAAUGACAGAUGGUUCCCUGUCCACUCAGCAGGCUGAGGGUCCACCUGGAAGAUACCAAGGCGAUGGGCUUGGUGCCGUCCUGAGUUUGCAGGCCGAGGCUCACGCUGCUCUGCCAACACUCACAUACAGUAUCCGCAUCAAAGGCUGAGUGUGGCCAAGUGAAGGAGAAAGCCCCUGUGCGGGCACCUGCAGAGGCGUCCACCCUGCCCAGGGGCCUCUGGGGACGCAGCGCCCACCCUGCCCAGGGGCCUUGGGGACGCAGCGACUCACUGACCAGUGAGCGCAGAUGAGCGACUGCACCUCUCUGCUUCAGCUCUUGCAAUCCCCACCUUGCAAGGUGGCGUCAAGGACUGAGAAAGAACGAGCACCAGGCCUGGCCCCAUGAGCACUGCUGGGUCUGGAUCCAGGCGCCGUCCACCUUCCACCUGGCAGCACUAAUGCUUCCUCCCCGGCUGCACUGGCCCUUAUCUGGGGGUCAGGAACUCACGUGCUGAAUAAAGAGCAACUCUUUUCCAGA